GGGCUUCUGCUCUUCUCGUGACGGCCUUUUUUUCCACUGGCCUAUAACUCUUCCGAGGGGGCUGGCUCUGUCAGGGCCCUGGUCCUGUUACCCGGCUCCCACCUGGACAUCCAGGCUUUCGGGGAAACCUGCGUCGGCACGGUUGCUGCGGUUCCCGC
Molecule: unclassified non-coding RNA, 158 nt
Filed under: Paracoccus alkenifer
Lineage: Bacteria; Pseudomonadati; Pseudomonadota; Alphaproteobacteria; Rhodobacterales; Paracoccaceae
Description: 6S / SsrS RNA
Source: RNAcentral